This 616-nucleotide long non-coding RNA is filed under the name Vulpes vulpes (red fox). RNAcentral describes it as "lncRNA (ENSVVUG00000021802.1)". Lineage: Eukaryota; Metazoa; Chordata; Mammalia; Carnivora; Canidae. The record is from RNAcentral.
AUGAUCUUCCUCUGUUUUUCCAGAGACUCGAGGCUUAAAGCAUUUUAAAUAAUACAAAUAUCACCCACUACCCAGUGUCAAGGCUCAUUUCCCCCUGCUCACAGGGAUUGGGCUCAAUAAUGUUCACCCUAAAUAAUGUCCAGUGCUCUAGGACGGCCAUUCACAGGAUCCCUUUCUGAGUCUCUACAAUAGAUGACGAAAAGUAUGAUGAGUGGUGCAGGACCUGAAGAGCUGGGGAAAUAGCCAGGAUUCUUCUAAUGUUGUUUUCACUCUGAUCUCAUCAUUUCUCAAGUUAAUAAGAGAAGAGAGCUACCCUUUGGAGUUGGAAUUAAGGAAACGAAGAGAGCUCCCAGUGUUCCCUGGUAAACUUCCCUCUUCCUCCAGAUGCAGACUGAAUUCGCUGGAAUGAUAACAGCAUAGCUAAAGGGUUUGCAACUCAAUUACCCAUCAGAAGAAAGUAAUAUCAACCAAAUUCAGAUCAAGCCAAUUAUUUCUGAUCCUUUCUAGAGGAAACUUACUCAAAGGUAAGAAAACAUUUAUGUGUGAUUUAAGGGAAAAAAAGUAUAUUUUUCCAAGUGUUAAGACAGUGUUCUUCAGCUCCUGACCCGUUUUCACC